This 435-nucleotide ribosomal RNA is filed under the name Bacteroidetes bacterium SCGC AAA027-O08. Its description in RNAcentral is "bacterial SSU rRNA". It matches the Rfam family "Bacterial small subunit ribosomal RNA", at positions 354 to 787 of the family's 1533-position model. The record is from RNAcentral. Lineage: Bacteria; Pseudomonadati; Bacteroidota.
GUAGGGAAUAUUGGGCAAUGGACGCAAGUCUGACCCAGCCAUGCCGCGUGCAGGAUGAAGGCGUUAUGCGUCGUAAACUGCUUUUAUACAGGAAGAAACGACUCUUGCGAGAGGCAUUGACGGUACUGUAUGAAUAAGCACCGGCUAACUCCGUGCCAGCAGCCGCGGUAAUACGGAGGGUGCAAGCGUUGUCCGGAUUUAUUGGGUUUAAAGGGUGCGCAGGUGGUUUAUUAAGUCAGUGGUGAAAGACGGUCGCUCAACGAUUGCAGUGCCAUUGAAACUAGUAGACUUGAGUAAAGUAGAGGUGGGCGGAAUUGAUAGUGUAGCGGUGAAAUGCAUAGAUAUUAUCAAGAACUCCAAUUGCGUAGGCAGCUCACUUGGCUUUUACUGACACUCAUGCACGAAAGUGUGGGUAUCAAACAGGAUUAGAUACCC